UGAACGCUGGCGGCGUGCCUAACACAUGCAAGUCGAACGAAGCAUCGCGCCCGACAAAGAGGAGUGCUUGCACAAAUCGGAGUCAAUUGUGAUGACUUAGUGGCGGACGGGUGAGUAACGCGUGGGUAACCUGCCCUAUACAGGGGGAUAACAGUUAGAAAUGACUGCUAAUACCGCAUAAGCGCACAGUAUCGCAUGAUACAGUGUGAAAAGCCGAGACGGUAUAGGAUGGACCCGCGUCUGAUUAGCCAGUUGGCAGGGUAACGGCCUACCAAAGCGACGAUCAGUAGCCGGCCUGAGAGGGUGAACGGCCACAUUGGGACUGAGACACGGCCCAAACUCCUACGGGAGGCAGCAGGUGGGGGAUAUUGCACAAUGGGGGAAACCCUGAUGCAAGCGACGCCGCGUGAGCGAAGAAGUAUUUCGGUAUGUAAAGCUCUAUCAGCAGGGAAGAAAAUGACGGUACCUGACUAAGAAGCUCCGGCUAAAUACGUGCCAGCCGCGGC
Molecule: ribosomal RNA, 506 nt
Filed under: uncultured bacterium
Lineage: Bacteria
Description: bacterial SSU rRNA
Rfam family: Bacterial small subunit ribosomal RNA
Source: RNAcentral